Molecule: ribosomal RNA, 496 nt
Filed under: uncultured bacterium
Lineage: Bacteria
Description: partial 16S ribosomal RNA
Rfam family: Bacterial small subunit ribosomal RNA
Source: RNAcentral
AUGAACGCUGGCGGCGUGCCUAAUACAUGCAAGUCGAGCGAACAGACGAGGAGCUUGCUCCUCUGACGUUAGCGGCGGACGGGUGAGUAACACGUGGAUAACCUACCUAUAAGACUGGGAUAACUUCGGGAAACCGGAGCUAAUACCGGAUAAUAUAUUGAACCGCAUGGUUCAAUAGUGAAAGACGGUUUUGCUGUCACUUAUAGAUGGAUCCGCGCCGCAUUAGCUAGUUGGUAAGGUAACGGCUUACCAAGGCAACGAUGCGUAGCCGACCUGAGAGGGUGAUCGGCCACACUGGAACUGAGACACGGUCCAGACUCCUACGGGAGGCAGCAGUAGGGAAUCUUCCGCAAUGGGCGAAAGCUUGGCGGAGCAACGCCGCGUGAGUGAUGAAGGUCUUCGGAUCGUAAAACUCUGUUAUUAGGGAAGAACAAAUGUGUAAGUAACUAUGCACGUCUUGACGGUACCUAAUCAGAAAGCCACGGCUAACUACGUG